Molecule: long non-coding RNA, 296 nt
Filed under: Nicotiana benthamiana
Lineage: Eukaryota; Viridiplantae; Streptophyta; Magnoliopsida; Solanales; Solanaceae
Description: long non-coding RNA (NBEN_LNC016527)
Source: RNAcentral
UGUAGUAAUCUUGAUCUCCUCUUCGUGUUCUCGAGCUCUUCGAUUUGAACAUACUGAAGAAAGAGAAUGAGGAGCUCUUCUUUCCUGCCAUGGCCUUAGCUUGGUGAAGGAAAAAAAGAUAUGUAGGCUUGUUUUUCUUUUGGAUGAAACUAAAGAAGCAGUGAGCUAAUAACUUGUUGGUUUCAAAUGGAGUGAAGCUCUAUUGAAUUUAUAGUAGUUGUUAGGGGGAGAAUCUAAGGAGUUGGAGAUGUAAAGCUUUAAAUUAUGAUAAAUGGUGGUGAGUAAAUGAAGUGAAA